RNAcentral lists this ribosomal RNA (477 nucleotides) under uncultured bacterium. RNAcentral describes it as "partial 16S ribosomal RNA". It matches the Rfam family "Bacterial small subunit ribosomal RNA", at positions 28 to 507 of the family's 1533-position model. The record is from RNAcentral.
GAUGAACGCUGGCGGCGUGCCUAACACAUGCAAGUCGAACGAAGCACCUUACCUGAUUCUUCGGAUGAAAGUUUGGUGACUGAGUGGCGGACGGGUGAGUAACGCGUGGGUAACCUGCCCUGUACAGGGGGAUAACAGCUGGAAACGGCUGCUAAUGCCGCAUAAGCGCACGAGGAGACAUCUCCUUGUGUGAAAAACUCCGGUGGUACAGGAUGGGCCCGCGUCUGAUUAGCUGGUUGGCAGGGUAACGGCCUACCAAGGCAACGAUCAGUAGCCGGUCUGAGAGGAUGAACGGCCACAUUGGAACUGAGACACGGUCCAAACUCCUACGGGAGGCAGCAGUGGGGAAUAUUGCACAAUGGGGGAAACCCUGAUGCAGCAACGCCGCGUGAGUGAAGAAGUAUUUCGGUAUGUAAAGCUCUAUCAGCAGGGAAGAUAAUGACGGUACCUGACGAAGAAGCUCCGGCUAAAUACGUG